This 114-nucleotide ribosomal RNA is filed under the name uncultured bacterium. Its description in RNAcentral is "partial 16S ribosomal RNA". It matches the Rfam family "Bacterial small subunit ribosomal RNA", at positions 1369 to 1482 of the family's 1533-position model. The record is from RNAcentral.
CGUUCCCGGGCCUUGUACACACCGCCCGUCACACCACGAAGGUCGGUAACACCCGAAGCCAGUGGCCCAACCGUAAGGAGGGAGCUGUCGAAGGUGGGAUCGGUGAUUGGGGUG